GACGAACGCUGGCGGUGUGCUUAACACAUGCAAGUGGUGCGACGAACCAGAGCUUGCUCUGGGGCAAAGCCGCGAACGGGUGAGUAACACGUGUGUAAUCUACCCCGAUGACCGGGACAACCCGAGGAAACUCGGGCUAAUACCGGAUGUGGUGCGGAGACAUAAGUCUCUUCACUAAAGGUAGCUUCGGCUUCCGCAUUGGGAGGGGCCCGCGGCCCAUUAGCUUGUUGGUGGGGUCAAGGCCUACCAAGGCAACGAUGGGUAGCUGGUCUGAGAGGACGAUCAGCCACACUGGGACUGAGACACGGCCCAGACUCCUACGGGAGGCAGCAGUGGGGAAUCUUGCGCAAUGCGCGAAAGCGUGACGCAGCAACACCGCGUGAGGGAAGAAGGCCUUAGGGUUGUAAACCUCUUUCAGAUGGGACGAAGGUUCUCCGGUGAAUAGCCGAGAGGAUUGACGGUACCGUCAGAAGAAGCUCCGGCUAACUACGUG
Molecule: ribosomal RNA, 493 nt
Filed under: uncultured bacterium
Lineage: Bacteria
Description: partial 16S ribosomal RNA
Rfam family: Bacterial small subunit ribosomal RNA
Source: RNAcentral